RNAcentral lists this ribosomal RNA (371 nucleotides) under uncultured organism. Its description in RNAcentral is "bacterial SSU rRNA". It matches the Rfam family "Bacterial small subunit ribosomal RNA", at positions 526 to 896 of the family's 1533-position model. The record is from RNAcentral.
CAGAGGGGGCAAGCGUUGUUCGGAAUUACUGGGCGUAAAGGGCGCGUAGGCGGCCUGUUAAGUCGAACGUGAAAUCCCCGGGCUCAACCCGGGAACUGCGUCCGAUACUGGCAGGCUUGAAUCCGGGAGAGGGACGCGGAAUUCCAGGUGUAGCGGUGAAAUGCGUAGAUAUCUGGAGGAACACCGGUGGCGAAGGCGGCAUCCUGGACCGGCAUUGACGCUGAGGCGCGAAAGCCAGGGGAGCAAACGGGAUUAGAUACCCCGGUAGUCCUGGCCCUAAACGAUGAAUGCUUGGUGUGGCGGGUAUCGAUCCCUGCCGUGCCGAAGCUAACGCAUUAAGCAUCCGCCUGGGGAGUACGGUCGCAAGGCUG